GUCAUGUGGAGUGGGCCAGCUUUGAUGAACCUGUCUAAAAGGAAGGAAGAGAAAGAGCUCGGCUCCUUAGGGGAACAAGGAGGACCUUGGCAGCUGUCUCACGCCUCACCAGCUCUUCACCUCAGAUCUUGUCCUGACUUCCUGGUCCACUAACAGCCUCCUGGACAGAAGAGUCAGUUCACCAGCCCAGAAGAUGUUCUGAAAAUUGACAAUGAUCAUGAUAUACCCUGGGUCCAGAAUACUUCUCUGUGCGAUGGAUGUGUAUGAAGACAGACAGACCUGCCAGGCUCCAUCAGGGAAGCUCUGUGUCUCCUUCACAUUGGAGGGACAGAAUAUUAUCUGGAGAUGGAGAAUGCUUCUGAGAGUCUCUAGCACAGGGGUCCCCAACUCCACAGCCUCGGAUGGGUCCCAGUCCCAAUCUGUGGCCUGUUAGGAACCAGGCCACACAGCAGGAGGUGAGCAGUGGGCAACUGAGCAUUACCACGUGAGCUCUGCCUCCUGUCAGAUCAGCCGGUGGCAUUAGAGUCUCACAGAAGCAUGAACCCUACUGUGAACUGUACAAGUGAGGGCUCUAGGUUGGGUGCUUCUUAUGAGAAUCUAAUGCCUGAGGAUGAGGCAAAACAGUUUCAUUCUGAAAUCAUCCCCCCUGCUCCCCAUCUGUGGAAAAAUUGUCUUCCAUGAAACCGGUACCUAAUACCCAAAAAUUUGGAGACCACUGCUCUAGUAGGCCUGCCUACUGGGCUUACUUUGCAUAUAUGAAAUUAAUAAUUAUUCCUCAUUUCAGAAAUUUAAAAUGUUACAUUUAUACUUCUUUCGUAUUUCCAGCAUUGUUCCAAAGGUCAGUCCUAGAAUGCUUUGUUUUAGCUGUUUUUCUUUCCUUAGGCAGAGAACAAAGACUGGAGGCUUCCUCCUGAGCACACUGGGAUGUGGCAUUACGUCGGGGCUGCCGAGUGUCCUUACCUACAGCUACCCAGAUGCAAAGGCAGGAAGCCACAGGCCAUUUGGAUUAUUGCACUUUUCAAAGUACACGGGAAGACUUGAGACCAUCCAGAGAAUGACACAAACAAAAGGGCAGAACGCCUGA
Molecule: long non-coding RNA, 1084 nt
Filed under: Piliocolobus tephrosceles (Ugandan red Colobus)
Lineage: Eukaryota; Metazoa; Chordata; Mammalia; Primates; Cercopithecidae
Description: lncRNA (ENSPTEG00000019848.1)
Source: RNAcentral